Molecule: long non-coding RNA, 1248 nt
Filed under: Gadus morhua (Atlantic cod)
Lineage: Eukaryota; Metazoa; Chordata; Actinopteri; Gadiformes; Gadidae
Description: lncRNA (ENSGMOG00000030913.1)
Source: RNAcentral
GAAGUGUAUUUAAGUAAACUACAUCUCAAGCUGUACUUAGAGUGUACUUAUAAAGAUUAUACAAAGUUAUAAAUAAGUGGUAUUUUAGUGUACUUAUGUAAAGUACACUUAUUUUCAAGUCCUGUGUACUACACUACUAAAAUGUUUUAUUAAAGUGUACUAAAAUUCACUUCAUUAGCAGUGGCUGACCCUGACCACCAUCGUGGGUCUAGGCUGCCCCGGUUGGCUGCCCCAGCCGCUGGCGCCAGCGACAGGAUCGUCCUCCGCCCCCCUACUGAGGCCAAGCCCCCGGGCCUUAACCCCCGCUACCCUCGUGGGUCUAGGCUGCCCCGGUUGGCUGCCCCAGCUGGUGGCGCCAACGAGAGGAUCGUCCUCCGCCCCCCUACUGAGGCCAAGCCCCCGGGCCUUAACCCCCGCUACCCUCGUGGGGCUAGGCUGCCCCGGUUGGCUGUGGCUGAGGAGGCUGAUGGCCAGGAAGCCUGGAUCACGGCGGCCCACUCCGACACCGUGUCCCCCCGUGCACGGGCUCUGGGUGCCGCCUCGAGCCAGGAGACUUCCCCGGGCCAAACCCCCCCAGAAGUGGCUGACCCUGACCACCCUCGUGGGACUAGGCUGCCCCGGUUGGCUGCCCCAGCCGCUGGCGCCAACGAGAGGAUCGUCCUCCGCCCUACUGAGGCCAAGCCCCCACAUAGACCCCCAGUGUCCUUCACAGUGGAUCUGCGGGACGCCCAGCUGAGCUCCGCCCCCUCUUCCCGGAACGCCACUGCCUCCGCCCGCCGCCGGGCGCUCGGAGGCGCCGAGGCGGACCUCCCUGGGAGGGAGUGCUCCCAGUCCGCCAACGGCCAGAGGUCCCAGGCCCCAGGCAGCCCGCCGGCCUCUGAGGUUCCUGAAGGCGUGGCGGGCAGAGGUAAGUGCGCGUUCAGCCCGUUUCCCCCUGUGCAGGAGCGUCUGAGGAACGGCAGGAUCCCCCGGGAGAAGCUCCGGGGCCCGUCCCCCCACCAGGCAGGGGAAGAGGCCGGGCCCUCUGGGAAGCGGCAGAAGAACGGGGGCCGCUGUUUCCCCAACCAGAGGCUGACCGCUGAGCCCGAGCUGGAGGAGAAGCUGUUGGAUAGCAGAGAUGAGCCGUCCCAGGGCUCCCUCAGCGGCCCCCAGCGAGACCCACCAGAGCCCCCCGGGCCCCACCCCUUCCCCAAACCUGAGCUGGCCAUGACACAGAGCCUCACUCUCAUCAGCUCAGAGAACUGGUGA